GAUGAACGCUGGCGGCGUGCCUAAUACAUGCAAGUCGAGCGAACAGACGAGGAGCUUGCUCCUCUUACGUUAGCGGCGGACGGGUGAGUAACACGUGGAUAACCUACCUAUAAGACUGGGAUAACUUCGGGAAACCGGAGCUAAUACCGGAUAAUAUAUUGAACCGCAUGGUUCAAUAGUGAAAAACGGUUUUGCUGUCACUUAUAGAUGGAUCCGCGCCGCAGUAGCUAGUUGGUAAGGUAACGGCUUACCAAGGCAACGAUGCGUAGCCGACCUGAGAGGGUGAUCGGUCACACUGGAACUGAGACACGGUCCAGACUCCUACGGGAGGCAGCAGUAGGGAAUCUUCCGCAAUGGGCGAAAGCCUGACGGAGCAACGCCGCGUGAGUGAUGAAGGUCUUCGGAUCGUAAAACUCUGUUAUUAGGGAAGAACAAAUGUGUAAGUAACUAUGCACGUCUUGACGGUACCUAAUCAGAAAGCCACGGCUAACUACGUG
Molecule: ribosomal RNA, 497 nt
Filed under: uncultured bacterium
Lineage: Bacteria
Description: partial 16S ribosomal RNA
Rfam family: Bacterial small subunit ribosomal RNA
Source: RNAcentral